Molecule: ribosomal RNA, 301 nt
Filed under: uncultured bacterium
Lineage: Bacteria
Description: partial 16S ribosomal RNA
Rfam family: Bacterial small subunit ribosomal RNA
Source: RNAcentral
CAGCCGCCGCGGUAAUACGAAGGGGGCUAGCGUUGCUCGGAAUUACUGGGCGUAAAGCGUGCGCAGGCGGUUUUGUAAGACAGGCGUGAAAUCCCCGGGCUCAACCUGGGAAUGGCGCUUGUGACUGCAAAGCUAGAGUGCGGCAGAGGGGGAUGGAAUUCCGCGUGUAGCAGUGAAAUGCGUAGAUAUGCGGAGGAACACCGAUGGCGAAGGCAAUCCCCUGGGCCUGCACUGACGCUCAUGCACGAGAGCGUGGGGAGCAAACAGGAUUAGAUACCCCCGUAGUCCCUGUCUCUUAUAC